RNAcentral lists this ribosomal RNA (301 nucleotides) under uncultured bacterium. RNAcentral's name for it is "partial 16S ribosomal RNA". It matches the Rfam family "Bacterial small subunit ribosomal RNA", at positions 509 to 809 of the family's 1533-position model. The record is from RNAcentral.
CAGUAGCCGCGGGAAUACGAGGGGGGCAAGCGUUGUUCGGAAUUAUUGGGCGUAAAGGGUGCGUAGGCGGUUUGGUAAGUCUUGUGUGAAAUCUUCGGGCUCAACCCGAAGCCUGCACGAGAAACUGCCGGGCUUGAGUAUGGGAGAGGUGAGUGGAAUUUCCGGUGUAGCGGUGAAAUGCGUAGAUAUCGGAAGGAACACCUGUGGCGAAAGCGGCUCACUGGACCAUUACUGACGCUGAUGCACGAAAGCUAGGGGAGCAAACAGGAUUAGAUACCCCGGUAGUCCCUGUCUCUUAUAA